Molecule: long non-coding RNA, 267 nt
Organism: Rhipicephalus sanguineus (brown dog tick)
Lineage: Eukaryota; Metazoa; Arthropoda; Arachnida; Ixodida; Ixodidae
Exons: 3
Source: RefSeq, a predicted model, not a curated record
GUGAAGGUCACAAGCCGUGCCCUUUGGAACAGGCUGCAGCCACUGUACAUGGCCAAGCCUACCACGGAAACAUGGCUGCAUGCUGCCGAGGGUUUCGGCCGCGCGUGGCAAUUUCCCAACUGCCUCGGUGCCGUGGAUGGUAAACAUGUCCAGAUAAAAUGCCCGAAGAAUUCUGGAAGUAUGUUCUUCAACUACAAGGGCACAUACUCCAUUGUUCUCCUGGCGGUGGUGGACAGCAAUUAUAAAUUUAUUAUGAUUGAUGUGGGG